AUAAGUUGAGUGUGAUUUAAUGAAAAAGUGCUUAGAUCAUAGUCUAACGGUUAAACGUUAGCUUGCAUGCUCGCGGUGGAGACUUAAGCGCUAGUUUGUGUAUGAAUUAGAAAUGAUUAAGAUUUUUUUGAAUUUUGCGACACGUCUUCCCUCAAUUGGAAGAAUUUCGUAUUUCUAUUACCACCAAAAAUGAGGUAGAAAUCUCCUCAUGUGAGGCGCGUCUCCCUUGUGGGUGAAGAAUACUUGAUUUUCAAUACUUUCAAUUGCCAACUACAAUC
This 278-nucleotide long non-coding RNA is filed under the name Lathyrus oleraceus (garden pea). RNAcentral's name for it is "Pisum sativum (pea) long non-coding RNA (PSAT_LNC020129)". The record is from RNAcentral. Lineage: Eukaryota; Viridiplantae; Streptophyta; Magnoliopsida; Fabales; Fabaceae.